GGGCUCGUGGCCUAGCUUGGAUAAGGCAGCGCCCUCCUAAGGCGAAGACCGGGAGUUCGAAUCUCCCCGGGCCCGCCA
This 78-nucleotide transfer RNA is filed under the name Promethearchaeota archaeon. Its description in RNAcentral is "Candidatus Lokiarchaeota archaeon (microbial mat metagenome) tRNA-Arg". It matches the Rfam family "tRNA". From Rfam's summary of the family: Transfer RNA (tRNA) molecules are approximately 80 nucleotides in length. Their secondary structure includes four short double-helical elements and three loops (D, anti-codon, and T loops). Further hydrogen bonds mediate the characteristic L-shaped molecular structure. tRNAs have two regions of fundamental functional importance: the anti-codon, which is responsible for specific mRNA codon recognition, and the 3' end, to which the tRNAs corresponding amino acid is attached (by aminoacyl-tRNA synthetases). tRNAs cope with the degeneracy of the genetic code in two manners: having more than one tRNA (with a specific anti-codon) for a particular amino acid; and 'wobble' base-pairing, i.e. permitting non-standard base-pairing at the 3rd anti-codon position. Lineage: Archaea; Promethearchaeati; Promethearchaeota. The record is from RNAcentral.